This is a non-coding RNA of Pelobates cultripes (western spadefoot toad), 206 nucleotides long. NCBI's taxonomy places the organism in Eukaryota, Metazoa, Chordata, Amphibia, Anura, Pelobatidae. The record is from the annotation of a GenBank genome assembly.
CAGGAAUCUGUCUAAGCAAGGCGAGUUCCCAGCCUGGCAUCAAUGAAUGAGAGACAGUCCUUCUAGGAGGGGGCUCUCCAUUUAUUAAUCUGUGCUGCCUCCCAGCAAGGCGUCCAUCCUCCAUUGCACAAGUAGGGAGCCAGGGCUCUGCUUUAAAGGGACCCCAGAGAGGAGCAGGGGCCAGUGGAGGAAGAUAAAGACACAAG